GAUGAACGCUGGCGGCGUGCCUAAUACAUGCCAGUCGAGCGAACAGACGAGGAGCUUGCUCCUCUGACGUUAGCGGCGGACGGGUGAGUAACACGUGGAUAACCUACCUAUAAGACUGGGAUAACUUCGGGAAACCGGAGCUAAUACCGGAUAAUAUAUUGAACCGCAUGGUUCAAUAGUGAAAGACGGUUUUGCUGUCACUUAUAGAUGGAUCCGCGCCGCAUUAGCUAGUUGGUAAGGUAACGGCUUACCAAGGCAACGAUGCGUAGCCGACCUGAGAGGGUGAUCGGCCACACUGGAACUGAGACACGGUCCAGACUCCUACGGGAGGCAGCAGUAGGGAAUCUUCCGCAAUGGGCGAAAGCCUGACGGAGCAACGCCGCGUGAGUGAUGAAGGUCUUCGGAUCGUAAAACUCUGUUAUUAGGGAAGAACAAAUGUGUAAAUAACUAUGCACGUCUUGACGGUACCUAAUCAGAAAGCCACGGCUAACUACGUG
This 497-nucleotide ribosomal RNA is filed under the name uncultured bacterium. RNAcentral describes it as "partial 16S ribosomal RNA". It matches the Rfam family "Bacterial small subunit ribosomal RNA", at positions 28 to 507 of the family's 1533-position model. The record is from RNAcentral.